GAGAAGACCACUAAUCCUGCUAUGAUAAGUAACUGGGCAGUUAUUCAAGUGGGGUGUUUUUAGUGCCAUGGAAACAGACAGAGUCGGUGUUUUCCAAGGGAAAGUGUUUUAAAUCCAGAGUCCUGCCUAAUCUGGAUAUAAAUAUGCUGACUGUUAUGAAUCUAGCUUCCUAAACCAAGCCCUACCUUAAUUUCCUCAUAUGUGAGGUAAAGGUCACCCACCACAGUCUGGUGUGAAUUCAUGGCAAUUAAGGUUCUUACUUAGAAGAAGUCAUUAUUUUUAUUCCCAUCUGGGCAGAAGUCAAGUUCAAAGUCAGAGUUGUAUCAGGGUUCAGCUUCUGUGAUCAGUCAGACCAUUUAUGUUUAGAAGUGAGUUUUCUAAAGUAAGUGCUAAGUAUUUUAGGCAAAGAAACCCAGCUGUGAAAAUACUGCUAACAUUUGUACAGUUGUUUUAUAUGUGGAUUUAUUUUUACUUGCACUUACUUUAGUGCGAUUCUUUGCAGAGAAGUUCCUCUUCCCCUCCUCUCCUUCCCCGUCACUGCCUCUGGCUGCCUCUCGUGGGUCAUUUGAGAAAUGACAGUCUCUCUCUAAUCCUUAUGGGUCACAAGUGUUCUGCAUCAUGGCACACCCUUGACUAAUUAGCAUUAAUAAGUGAUGCUGGGAGAAAGAACCCUGGAGAAAAAGCAGAAGGCUUGUUUUUGCCAAAUUGGAAUUGACCCAGCUAGCAAAAUUUUCCAGCGUACUUUCUUACUCUCUUGCCUCUUGUGUGUUCUUGCUGCCUAAACAUACGUUUCUGACAUGAGGUCUUGGACAGCCCAUGAAAUACACUGCCCUGCAUACCUUUUGUUCCAGGGGGCAUGGGGACUUUAUUUAUUUAAUAAACUUUUCCUAAACUGUUUACUGUGUGCAGGCCAUAAGGGAUAAUAAGACAUCAUUUCUGCCUCCUACCUUUUUAUGUUGUUUUAGCACAGAUAUGGCAAAGAUAUAUCUAACUAUAUAUUAGUUAUUGAGCACCUACUGUGUGAAAGGCAUUGGGCUAGGUACAAAUAGAAGAGCCUUGCAGAAUAAACAGGACUUCAAUAGGCAGGGAACCAAAAUAGGACAGGCCAGGUAGGCUGCGCAGUAAAAGGAAAAGCUCAAAGGCAG
RNAcentral lists this long non-coding RNA (1145 nucleotides) under Homo sapiens (human). RNAcentral describes it as "non-protein coding lnc-HLX-6:1". The record is from RNAcentral. Lineage: Eukaryota; Metazoa; Chordata; Mammalia; Primates; Hominidae.